RNAcentral lists this small nuclear RNA (196 nucleotides) under Daucus carota subsp. sativus. Its description in RNAcentral is "sRNA DCAR_sn00277". It matches the Rfam family "U2 spliceosomal RNA". Rfam says of the family: U2 is a small nuclear RNA (snRNA) component of the spliceosome (involved in pre-mRNA splicing). Complementary binding between U2 snRNA (in an area lying towards the 5' end but 3' to hairpin I) and the branchpoint sequence (BPS) of the intron results the bulging out of an unpaired adenosine, on the BPS, which initiates a nucleophilic attack at the intronic 5' splice site, thus starting the first of two transesterification reactions that mediate splicing. The record is from RNAcentral. Lineage: Eukaryota; Viridiplantae; Streptophyta; Magnoliopsida; Apiales; Apiaceae.
AUACCUUUCUCGGCCUUUUGGCUAAGAUCAAGUGUAGUAUCUGUUCUUAUCAGUUUAAUAUCUGAUAUGUGGGCCAUAGAUCCACACGAUAUUAAAUUAAUUUUUUAAGGGGGAAGUCCCACCACAAUAGCUUGCUAUUGGGGUCUUCGCGUGUCGCCCAAGUGUCGCACCACUGCUCGGGCCUGGCACACCCCAC